This 424-nucleotide ribosomal RNA is filed under the name uncultured bacterium. RNAcentral's name for it is "bacterial SSU rRNA". It matches the Rfam family "Bacterial small subunit ribosomal RNA", at positions 356 to 773 of the family's 1533-position model. The record is from RNAcentral.
CGAGAAUUUUUCUCAAUGGGGGAAACCCUGAAGGAGCGACGCCGCGUGGAGGAUGAAGGUCUUCGGAUUGUAAACUCCUGUCAUUUGGGAACAAUGUGCAUUUAUUAACUGUAGAUGCAUUGAUAGUACCAGAAGAGGAGGAGCCGGCUAACUCUGUGCCAGCAGCCGCGGUAAUACAGAGGUCUCAAGCGUUGUUCGGAUUCAUUGGGCGUAAAGGGUGCGUAGGUGGCGGGGUAAGUCUGGUGUGAAAUCUCGGGGCUCAACCCCGAAACUGCACUGGAUACUGCCUUGCUCGAGUACUGGAGAGGAGAUUGGAAUUUACGGUGUAGCAGUGAAAUGCGUAGAUAUCGUAAGGAAGACCAGUGGCGAAGGCGAAUCUCUGGACAGUUACUGACACUGAGGCACGAAGGCCAGGGGAGCAAAC